Molecule: ribosomal RNA, 497 nt
Filed under: uncultured bacterium
Lineage: Bacteria
Description: partial 16S ribosomal RNA
Rfam family: Bacterial small subunit ribosomal RNA
Source: RNAcentral
GAUGAACGCUGGCGGCGUGCCUAAUACAUGCAAGUCGAGCGAACAGAUGAGGAGCUUGCUCCUCUGACGUUAGCGGCGGACGGGUGAGUAACACGUGGAUAACCUACCUAUAAGACUGGAAUAACUUCGGGAAACCGGAGCUAAUACCGGAUAAUAUAUUGAACCGCAUGGUUCAAUAGUGAAAGACGGUUUUGCUGUCACUUAUAGAUGGAUCCGCGCCGCAUUAGCUAGUUGGUAAGGUAACGGCUUACCAAGGCAACGAUGCGUAGCCGACCUGAGAGGGUGAUCGGCCACACUGGAACUGAGACACGGUCCAGACUCCUACGGGAGGCAGCAGUAGGGAAUCUUCCGCAAUGGGCGAAAGCCUGACGGAGCAACGCCGCGUGAGUGAUGAAGGUCUUCGGAUCGUAAAACUCUGUUAUUAGGGAAGAACAAAUGUGUAAGUAACUAUGCACGUCUUGACGGUACCUAAUCAGAAAGCCACGGCUAACUACGUG